GGGCCGGUAGCUCAGCGGUAGAGCACCCGACUUUUAAUCGAGUGGUCGUGGGUUCGAUCCCCACCCGGCCUACCA
RNAcentral lists this transfer RNA (75 nucleotides) under Phenylobacterium zucineum. Its description in RNAcentral is "tRNA-Lys". It matches the Rfam family "tRNA". Rfam says of the family: Transfer RNA (tRNA) molecules are approximately 80 nucleotides in length. Their secondary structure includes four short double-helical elements and three loops (D, anti-codon, and T loops). Further hydrogen bonds mediate the characteristic L-shaped molecular structure. tRNAs have two regions of fundamental functional importance: the anti-codon, which is responsible for specific mRNA codon recognition, and the 3' end, to which the tRNAs corresponding amino acid is attached (by aminoacyl-tRNA synthetases). tRNAs cope with the degeneracy of the genetic code in two manners: having more than one tRNA (with a specific anti-codon) for a particular amino acid; and 'wobble' base-pairing, i.e. permitting non-standard base-pairing at the 3rd anti-codon position. RNAcentral also lists the same sequence under 3 other names. Lineage: Bacteria; Pseudomonadati; Pseudomonadota; Alphaproteobacteria; Caulobacterales; Caulobacteraceae. The record is from RNAcentral.